GGGGAAGUGAAACAUCUCAGUACCCACAGGAAGAGAAAACAACAGUGAUUCCGUCAGUAGUGGCGAGCGAACGCGGAAGAGGCCAAACCGAUGGUGUGUGAUACCCGGCAGGGGUUGCAUCAUCGGGGUCGUGGGGCGUGUCGUCCCGGGUCUGCCGGCCCGGGCGUGUGAGUGCAGGGCGAUAGUCGAACCGGUGUGAGUGCCGGACCGGAGAGGGUGAGAGUCCCGUAGACGAAAUCGUUGCUGCCGCACGGUACGCGUACCCAAGUAGCACGGGGCCCGAGAAAUCCCGUGUGAAUCUGCCAGGACCACCUGGUAAGCCUAAAUACUACCUGAUGACCGAUAGCGGACCAGUACCGUGAGGGAAAGGUGAAAAGUACCCCGGGAGGGGAGUGAAAUAGUACCUGAAACCGUGUGCCUACAAACCGUCGGAGCCCUACAAGGUGACGGCGUGCCUUUUGAAGAAUGAGCCUGCGAGUUAGUGUUACGUCGCGAGGUUAACCCGUGAGGGGUAUCCGUAGCGAAAGCGAGUCUGAACAGGGCGAGUGAGUGGCGUGAUCUAGACCCGAAGCGAAGUGAUCU
RNAcentral lists this ribosomal RNA (582 nucleotides) under Shigella sonnei. RNAcentral describes it as "partial 23S ribosomal RNA". It matches the Rfam family "Bacterial large subunit ribosomal RNA", at positions 187 to 731 of the family's 2925-position model. The record is from RNAcentral. Lineage: Bacteria; Pseudomonadati; Pseudomonadota; Gammaproteobacteria; Enterobacterales; Enterobacteriaceae.